RNAcentral lists this ribosomal RNA (468 nucleotides) under uncultured bacterium. Its description in RNAcentral is "partial 16S ribosomal RNA". It matches the Rfam family "Bacterial small subunit ribosomal RNA", at positions 28 to 507 of the family's 1533-position model. The record is from RNAcentral.
GACGAACGCUGGCGGCGUGCUUAACGCAUGCAAGUCGAACGGAAAGGCCCUGCUUUUGUGGGGUGCUCGAGUGGCGAACGGGUGAGUAACACGUGAGUAACCUGCCCUUGACUUUGGGAUAACUUCAGGAAACUGGGGCUAAUACCGGAUAGGAGCUCCUGCUGCAUGGUGGGGGUUGGAAAGUUUCGGCGGUUGGGGAUGGACUCGCGGCUUAUCAGCUUGUUGGUGGGGUAGUGGCUUACCAAGGCUUUGACGGGUAGCCGGCCUGAGAGGGUGACCGGCCACAUUGGGACUGAGAUACGGCCCAGACUCCUACGGGAGGCAGCAGUGGGGAAUAUUGCACAAUGGGCGGAGGCCUGAUGCAGCAACGCCGCGUGCGGGAUGACGGCCUUCGGGUUGUAAACCGCUUUCGCCUGUGACGAAGCGUGAGUGACGGUAAUGGGUAAAGAAGCACCGGCUAACUACGUG